This 502-nucleotide ribosomal RNA is filed under the name uncultured bacterium. RNAcentral describes it as "partial 16S ribosomal RNA". It matches the Rfam family "Bacterial small subunit ribosomal RNA", at positions 29 to 523 of the family's 1533-position model. The record is from RNAcentral.
AACGAGCGCUGGCGGCGUGCCUAACACAUGCAAGUCGAACGGGAAUGUUUCCUUCGGGGAACUAGUACCGUGGCGCACGGGUGAGUAAUACGUAGGUUACCUGCCUUUCGCUGGGGAAUAACUCCGGGAAACCGGAGCUAAUACCGCAUACGCUCUACGGAGGAAAGCCGGGGACCGCAAGGCCUGGCACUGAUAGAUGAGCCCAAGUCGGAUUAGCUAGUUGGCGGGGUAACGGCCCACCAAGGCGACGAUCCGUAGCUGGUCUGAGAGGACGAUCAGCCACACUGGGACUGAGACACGGCCCAGACUCCUACGGGAGGCAGCAGUGGGGAAUAUUGGACAAUGGGGGAAACCCUGAUCCAGCGACGCCGCGUGGGUGAAGAAGGCCUGCGGGUUGUAAAGCCCUUUCGGUAGGGACGAAAGCUCUCGACCUAACACGUCGGGAGGUUGACUUAACCUACAAAAGAAGCACCGGCUAACUCUGUGCCAGCCGCCGCAGUAA